UUUCCGUAGGUGAACCUGCGGAAGGAUCAUUAUUGUAUAACCGAGGUGCGAGGGCUGUCGCUGACCCGAAAGGUCGUGCACGCCCGAGUGCCCUCACACACAUCCAUCCCACCCCUACGUGCACCACCGCGUGGGUCCCCCUUUGGCUUGUUCGGAGGGGGGCUUACGUUGUCACACAAACUUUGUAUGCAGUGUAGAAUGUAUUUUUUGUUUUUGCGAUCACGCAAUCAAUACAACUUUCAACAACGGAUCUCUUGGCUCUC
RNAcentral lists this unclassified non-coding RNA (263 nucleotides) under plant metagenome. RNAcentral's name for it is "partial contains small subunit ribosomal RNA, internal transcribed spacer 1, and 5.8S ribosomal RNA". The record is from RNAcentral.